CCUACGUGAGGCAGCAGUGGGGAAUAUUGCGCAAUGGGCGAAAGCCUGACGCCGCGACGCCGCGUGAGGGAUGAAGGUCUUCGGAUCGUAAACCUCUGUCAGCAGGGAAGAACGGUCACUGUGCUAAUCAGCAGUGAAUUGACGGUACCUGCAAAGGAAGCACCGGCUAACUCCGUGCCAGCAGCCGCGGUAAUACGGAGGGUGCGAGCGUUAAUCGGAAUUACUGGGCGUAAAGCGCUCGUAGGCGGUAUGUCAAGUCAAGGGUGAAAUCCCCGCGCUCAACGUGGGAACUGCCUUUGAAACUGGUAAACUGGAGUGUGUGAGAGGAUAGGGGAAUUCCAGGUGUAGGAGUGAAAUCCGUAGAUAUCUGGAGGAACAUCAGUGGCGAAGGCGACUAUCUGGCACAUAACUGACGCUGAGGAGCGAAAGCGUGGGUAGCAAACAGGAUUAGAUACCCCAGUAGUC
RNAcentral lists this ribosomal RNA (465 nucleotides) under uncultured bacterium. Its description in RNAcentral is "partial 16S ribosomal RNA". It matches the Rfam family "Bacterial small subunit ribosomal RNA", at positions 338 to 795 of the family's 1533-position model. The record is from RNAcentral.